GGCCCAGUGGCGGACGGUAUCCGCAUCUGCAUGCAAUCCCCGGUUUCAGCAAUGGAUGCAGAAAUUGCUCGUUCGAAUCGAGCUCGGGCCG
Molecule: non-coding RNA, 91 nt
Organism: Mycena rebaudengoi
Lineage: Eukaryota; Fungi; Basidiomycota; Agaricomycetes; Agaricales; Mycenaceae
Source: the annotation of a GenBank genome assembly